RNAcentral lists this transfer RNA (86 nucleotides) under Grifola frondosa (maitake). It matches the Rfam family "tRNA". From Rfam's summary of the family: Transfer RNA (tRNA) molecules are approximately 80 nucleotides in length. Their secondary structure includes four short double-helical elements and three loops (D, anti-codon, and T loops). The record is from Rfam by way of RNAcentral. RNAcentral also lists the same sequence under 2 other names. Lineage: Eukaryota; Fungi; Basidiomycota; Agaricomycetes; Polyporales; Grifolaceae.
GCCCGCCUAGCUCAAUCGGAUAGAGCGUCAGACUCUUACGAGUGCGGGUGAUCUGAAGGCUGCGAGUUCGACCCUCGCGGUGGGCU